GACAUACACCACAACUGUGAAAAUCUAUCUCACAGACAUAUAUCACAACUGUGAAAAUGUAUAUCACAGACAUACACCACAACUGUGAAAUGUAUAUCACAGACAUACACCACAACUGUGAAAAUGUAUAUCACAGACAUACACCACAACUGUGAAAAUGUAUAUCACAGACAUACACCACAACUGUGAAAAUCUAUAUCACAGACAUACACCACAACUG
This 220-nucleotide long non-coding RNA is filed under the name Mytilus galloprovincialis (Mediterranean mussel). The record is from RNAcentral. Lineage: Eukaryota; Metazoa; Mollusca; Bivalvia; Mytilida; Mytilidae.